Long non-coding RNA from Piliocolobus tephrosceles (Ugandan red Colobus), 2606 nucleotides. RefSeq lists it as uncharacterized. The transcript has 3 exons. The record is from RefSeq and is a predicted model, not a curated record. NCBI's taxonomy places the organism in Eukaryota, Metazoa, Chordata, Mammalia, Primates, Cercopithecidae.
UUUCACCGUGGUCUCAAUCUCCUGACCUUGUGAUCCGCCCGCCUCGGCCUCCCAAAGUGCUGGGAUUACAGGCGUGAGCCACUGCGCCCGGCCAAGGAUGAACUUUCUACCAUCCAGACUGUCCCCUGCAGAGCAGCUGCUGCCAGACAGCAGGAGCUCCCGCUUUGUGCACAGGAAGGGGCAGGGAGCUUGCAGCAGCCCCGGAAGGCAGGAAUGACUGCGCGGGAACCUCCUUUCUUCUCCCUGAAUCCCAGCCCUGGCAUCUCACCACGGGGCACAGUGAGGGUCCAGGGCUGGGCCCGGGACUCUAGCUGAAUCUUUCAGAGUAUCCCAUCCCUCUGGCCAGUGGCCCAAGCGAGUGAACCAGAAGGCUUCCUUGGGAGUUUUGAAAUUGGAACUGGAGAGAGGCGCUCCCUAUGGGGAGGUAAAUGGGAGCUGGGGCCACCUGUAGUGACAUUUCCUGAGUUCAUGGAGUAGGCGAGUCUCAGAGAGAAAAGCUGACUCAGAGAAAGGGAGUGAUAGCUGGGAGGGGUGGCCCACACAUGCAAUCUCAGCUACUCUAAUGGGAUCUGUUUGUCUGAUGUCUCGGUAUGAAAGGACUUUCUAAGCCUCAGAACAGUGGAAGAACUGAACAAAGGAAAAAACUAAUACAUAUACAAGGAGAUUUUGUGGAAGAAAAAAAUGGAUCAAACUUAAGCAAAAAACUGGGAAGGAUCUUGAUAAAAGAUAUGUCAGAAGGAAGUAAUAUUCUUUAAGAUGUUCUUAGAAAUUCAUCGGACAGGCGGGGUGUGGUGGUUCACACCCGUAAUCCCUGUACUGUGGGAGGCAGAGGUGGGUGGAUCACUUGAGGUCAGGAGUUUGAGACCAGCCUGGGCAACAUGGUGAAACCUCAUCUCUACUAAAAAUACAAAAAUUAGCCGGGUGCGGUGGCACAUUCGGGAGGCUGAGGCAGGAGAAUCACCUGAACCUUGGAGACAUAGGUUGCAGUGAGCUGAGAUCAUACCACUCCACUCCAGCCACGCCACUGAGUGAGACUGUCUCAAAACAAACAAACAAACAAACAAAAAGAAGAGAAACUCAUCAGACAAAGAGAGGAAAAAAAUGAGCAAAGGAAAUCAGCAGAUGUUUCAUUGAAGGACAGAGAGAAAUGGUCAAUACAUGGAUGAAAAUAUGUUUAACUUCAGUAAUAAUCAAGAGAGUCAGUGCCACCUGAGAUGUUGGCAGCCACUUUGGCUGAGCUAGACAGGUGCCUGCAGCUGCUUGAGGACAAGUUCCUGUGGGACCAGGCCUUCCUUACUGGGUCCCAUAUCUCUGUGGCUGACUCGGUGGCAAUCAUGGAGCUGAUGCAUCCCAUCAGCGCUGGCUGCUGAGUCUUUGAAAGCAGACCCACAAUGGCAGCAGGGCGCCCAAUGUGUGGAGACUGCAGUGGGGGAGGACCUCUUCCAGGAGGCCCUCACAGCUGUCCUGAAGGCCAAGACCUGCCUCCAGUAGAACCUGCUGUUAAAGAGAAUCUGAAGCCCUUAAUGCAGCUUUUCUUACUGUGAGUGCAUGUCCCGGACUUCCUGAGCCACUGAGGGGAUGCUGUGUUAGUAGAAUAAAGACAUGGAGCCGUCUGUCUCCUUGGUUGUAAAGAAGACAUAUCUGCGCAGGCUCUGGUCCACAGUUCCUCCAGGUAUCAUGCCUGCAUUCCUUUUGUCUCCUACCCCAUUCCUUUCUAGCUUCCAUGUGACCUCUGAAAAGAGCUUUGGCAAACACUUAUUUGACCCUGUCCUUCUGUGUGGAACUUUCUAUGGUUCUUCACUGCCCAGAGGCUAAAGUACAAGUCAUUGAACUUUGUAUUCAAGGCCUUGCUCCCACUCCUCCAGGUGGCCCCUUCUGCCUGCACAUUUUUAUACCCCGCUCUGGGCUCCCACCUUGGCUUCUGCUCAUGCUGUUUCCUCAUCUUCUUUGCCUGGUGCCCUUCCUGGUCUUUUGGCAUUUGGCACCCUGUCUCUUCUCCAGGGAGACUUCCCUGGCCUCCCCAACCCCAGUCCAGGUCAGAUGACCUCUCUGGCACCUCAGCCCCAGGGUUUCCUUGUGGGGGAUACCCCUGGACUGAGCAUGUAUCAUAGAUGAGGGGUGACCUGGUGAAAAGAUGUCUGAAUCAGGAUCAGCCUUGGUCUCCUAGGUCUCUCUCAUCACUGUGGGGCGAUGUGUCCCACAAGUGGGGUGCACGGCUGGUUCAUGGACCUCCGUGCAGGAAGGGAAGUCCCUGGCUAUUUCCUGGCCCUCUCCCAUGCCUCCUCAUAACCUUAACCACAGUCUUUUCUACACCCCACUCCCUGAUCCCUGGCUUGUCCAUGCCCCACACCUGGUCCCAGACUUGCCACCUGUCCCUGCCCUCUCCCCUUAGGACUGUCAUAUUUACCUGUCGUGUGUCUCAGACCUUCUGAUAUCUGAGUCAUCUAAUAAACAAACUGCUAAUAGGACAAGAUCAUGACAGACAGAGACUCUGUCGGCCUUUCAGUGGAGGCUCCUUUAAGUAUGCACACUUACAGAUAAUUUUAUACAUGUAGCUGAAAUUGUACAUAUAAACCUACACAUUUUUUCUUUCUUUUUUGAGAGGG